Molecule: ribosomal RNA, 501 nt
Filed under: uncultured bacterium
Lineage: Bacteria
Description: bacterial SSU rRNA
Rfam family: Bacterial small subunit ribosomal RNA
Source: RNAcentral
GUACAUUGCCCGAGCGUUAUCCGGAUUUAUUGGGCGUAAAGGGUGUGUAGGUGGUUUUGUUAGUCUUUCGUUAAAGCUCUCGGCUUAACCGGGAAAGUGCGAAGGAAACGGCAAGACUAGAGGGUGCAAGAGGCUUAUGGAACUCAUGGUGUAGGGGUGAAAUCCGUUAAUAUCAUGGGGAACACCGAAGGCGAAGGCAAUAAGCUGGUGCAUUUCUGACACUGAAACACGAAAGCGUGGGUNGCGAAUGGGAUUAGAUACCCCAGUAGUCCACGCCCUAAACGAUGUUCUCUAGUUUUUCGGAGUAUCGACCCUCUGAGANACAAAGCUAACGCNUUAAGAGAACCGCCUGGGUNGUACGGCCGCAAGGCUGAAACUCAAAGGAAUAGACGGGGACUUGCACAAGCGGUGGAUCAUGCGGUUUAAUUCGAUUCCUAAACGAAAGAACCUUACCAAGACUAGACAUCUUACUUGAACCUUAAAAAGAAACUUUAAGCUUCU